CUGCUAGUAAUACAGUUCAUGUAAAUAAUCUAGUUACAGCUAAUCACGUGGCCACAAAGCCCCACUGGGAUUCAUAUUCCAUAAGAUUGCUCCCAUAUUCAUUCGAUGGUGUGUGGUAGGCUAGACAUGUGAAGCCCAUCGGAAAAAUCGAGGGGUAAAAGACCCAGACUCUACCCUUGGUAUUGUUCCUGAUUUCAAGAUAAACAUGAAGAUACGGAUUGGAUACUGGCGUAGCAGAAAACCAUGUGAAUAGAUUAAAGCCAC
This 264-nucleotide long non-coding RNA is filed under the name Populus tremula. RNAcentral describes it as "long non-coding RNA (PTRE_LNC003014)". Lineage: Eukaryota; Viridiplantae; Streptophyta; Magnoliopsida; Malpighiales; Salicaceae. The record is from RNAcentral.